UUCUGAUAAUGAUGAGAACCUUUCAAUUAUACAGUUAUCCCUGUCUGAAUGGGUAAAAAGUUUAAUAAAACAUGGUAACACUCACGUGUCGAAAAUGUAUACUCUGACAUCAGAA
RNAcentral lists this small nucleolar RNA (115 nucleotides) under Kluyveromyces lactis. RNAcentral's name for it is "snR38". It matches the Rfam family "Small nucleolar RNA R38". From Rfam's summary of the family: snoR38 is a C/D box small nucleolar RNA conserved across yeast, human, Arabidopsis and rice. It is encoded in the intron of elongation factor-1 gamma in both pombe and cerevisiae. snoR38 guides the methylation of 2'-O-ribose sites in 28S rRNA. The record is from RNAcentral. Lineage: Eukaryota; Fungi; Ascomycota; Saccharomycetes; Saccharomycetales; Saccharomycetaceae.